Molecule: long non-coding RNA, 1713 nt
Organism: Columba livia (rock pigeon)
Lineage: Eukaryota; Metazoa; Chordata; Aves; Columbiformes; Columbidae
Exons: 4
Source: RefSeq, a predicted model, not a curated record
CUGAACUAUGAUUGUAAUUUUUCCAUCUGUGCACAAAGAAAUCUCCCAUUGAGUUCAUUGUCUUUUGACUGACUGCUGGUAAGAAUUUUCUCUACUUACAGAUAGCAGGACUGGAUCCUGAACCGGUACGAUUUCAUUGUUAUAUUGCUAUUAUGUAGACAAGCUCCAAAAUCCUAUACCUGUUCUUAGCACUGUAGGAGCAGGACUUGUAGCUUUGAAAAUGUUUCUUACAAAUUAUGAAAUGCAAGGCAAACAGGGGAUAAAAAAAAAUAACAGUUAAUCUAUUAGGAUUUACAGGGUAGAUUCAUAAAUGAGAACAACAAAUGUUGACCUAUCUACUAUUUCCUGUAUGUAGCAGCUUAGGAAAGAUGGCUUUACAUCUGCAGUCUUCCACCAUUAAACCAGAGCCAUCGCUGUACUGGUGAGACAAACUUUGGACAUUACGGUUCCAGCCUCUGAUGACGAUUUUGGGCUGUAGCAAGUAAUAUCUUUAAUCCCUGAUUUUUAAUCUCGUUCCGAAAAGUAUCUGAGGUCACUUGAUCAAGAAAAGGAUCUUUCACAGUGAUUGUGUUUUUGUAGGAAGAAAAAUGUACAGAAUUGUAUUGUUAAAAAUAUUCAGUCCAAGUGUCUUCAAAGAGCUUUGAAUCAGAACCUGAGUCCUAACACUUACCAAAACUGGUAUAAUCAAAACCUGUUAAAAAUCCAUACGUUUUGCUUAGUUCAUCUGCUUCCUCUCUCUUCUGUAUGUUUAUCACUGCAGUGCUGAUUUUCUUACUACGUCUUUACAGCAUAUAUUUAAAAAAAAAGAUAAUUAGUUAAUCCAGAUCAAGAGUGUUAUAAAAUUAUUUUGAAAUGUUUAUAAUUGUCCUUUAUUUGCUAAAAUAUACAUUUGACUCCACAAGACAAACAUUAAUAUGCAGAUCAGUGGACUAUAAAAUUCAUUUUGGUGCCUCCAGGGCAGUAUUUUUAUAAAUACAGAAACAUAAUCAUGCAUCCUCCAGAGGACUAAAAAUAAUUAUACAAAUUUACAACAAAGCCCAAGGCAGUGUCUCCUUUUAACUGUCUGUUUUCAAUAUAAUUUAAAUCUUGUUAAAACUUAAUUACUAAUUCUCUUCUGUAAUAAUUUAGGUAGAAGAGCGAAGUCUAAGCUUGCUGUUUGAGAGAGAGAACUUCAUCAGAGAAACAAAGACACUAAGGCACAGACUGACAAAAUAGGACAGUGCAUAGAAAAACUUGCUCAGGCUAUAUGCCCCUGGAAGAGGAGCUGCAGGACCAAUGCUUUCGUCCUCUGUACCUGUUCCUCAGCUGUUCUCUAUCUGGGAGCUGGUGGCUGCUCAGAACAGCUGUAGAACUUUUAGGUAAACCUGAUGGAGUUGAGAACUUAGCUGAACCUACUCAACCUGUAACCAAUGUGACGCAGCACCAUGGGGCCUUGUGUUUCCAGGGUGAAAAGUCCAGAGGACUGAGGCUGGAAAACUGCAAAGAUAUACCCGGAGAAGGAGCAGUGUAACUGCACAACCUCUGCCAACGGGUUGGGCUGAGAACAAGACUGGAUGACGCACUGGAUGCCUUCAGGUGGGUAAAGUAAGAGUUAUUGUGAGUAGUGGUGUGACAGUCCCCAGUAGCAAUACUGUAGUCAUAGUAUAGCAGACUUACAGUGUUCCAGCCUCCAGUCUCUGCUCUUUUCUCCAGUUAUGCACUGCCUAGCCCAAG